GGAUGUGGCUCUGGAGAAGCUCAGAUGAGUACCGAAGGUGCAAGGCGGGAAAUCCCGCUGAAUCUCUCAGGUAAAAGGACAGAGUAAAGGGC
Molecule: non-coding RNA, 92 nt
Organism: Oscillibacter sp. KLE 1745
Lineage: Bacteria; Bacillati; Bacillota; Clostridia; Eubacteriales; Oscillospiraceae
Source: Rfam